This 632-nucleotide ribosomal RNA is filed under the name uncultured bacterium. Its description in RNAcentral is "bacterial SSU rRNA". It matches the Rfam family "Bacterial small subunit ribosomal RNA", at positions 531 to 1160 of the family's 1533-position model. The record is from RNAcentral.
GGUGCAAGCGUUACUCGGAAUCACUGGGCGUAAAGAGCGUGUAGGCGGGUAUAUAAGUCAGAAGUGAAAUCCAAUAGCUCAACUAUUGAACUGCUUUUGAAACUGUAUACCUAGAAUGUGGGAGAGGUAGAUGGAAUUUCUGGUGUAGGGGUAAAAUCCGUAGAGAUCAGAAGGAAUACCGAUUGCGAAGGCGAUCUACUGGAACAUUAUUGACGCUGAGACGCGAAAGUGGNGGAGCAAACAGGAUUAGAUACCCUGGUAGUCCACGCCCUAAACGAUGUACACUAGUUGUUGUGAGGCUCGACCUUGCAGUAAUGCAGUUAACACAUUAAGUGUACCGCCUGGGGAGUACGGUCGCAAGAUUAAAACUCAAAGGAAUAGACGGGGACCCGCACAAGCGGUGGAGCAUGUGGUUUAAUUCGACGAUACACGAAGAACCUUACCUGGACUUGACAUAGUAAGAACUUUCUAGAGAUAGAUUGGUGUCUGCUUGCAGAAACUUAUAUACAGGUGCUGCACGGCUGUCGUCAGCUCGUGUCGUGAGAUGUUGGGUUAAGUCCCGCAACGAGCGCAACCCUCGUCCUUAGUUGCUAACAGUUCGGCUGAGAACUCUAAGGAGACUGCCUACGCAG